CCGGCCUUGGAGAAGAAGGGGGCCUGGCCCCAGGUGCUGAGGGAUGGGAAAGGAGUGACCUUUCAAUGUAGGAAACUUGGAGGCAAUGAGGAAGGCACCCUAUUCCCUCAAACCACUCGAACGUUUCCUCUCGUGAGGAGGAGAGCCUUGACCCAGUGCUGCGACCUCCCCCCGGGUCAGGAAGCUCUGCCUGCACAGCAUUUCCUGCGUGUGGGAAAGAAACAGGAUGAGCAGAUAAAUCCCCCGAGGCUUAUUUUCAAGUGUGUGAGGCCUUCUGUUUGGUGAGUCUGCAGCAGCCCUGGCCAAGAUGACCAACGGUGACGUGUGUUUCUAAAAGUAAUCAAAAAGGAUGACCGUGCACCCAUGAAGCACAAGGCUGGAUGUGGUAGAGGAGAAGAGCACGGGUCAUUGUCCCUGCUCUUUAGGACUGCGUUGGUUUGACUCUUCCCAGAAGCAGACCCUAAGAUAAGUAUUUAAGUGCAAAUAAUGUAUCUGGGAGGCAAUUUGGGGAAUCUCUGCAGGGGAACCGGGAAGUGAAACAGGGACGGGAAGGUGGCCAAUGAGGGAAGCAUUAUCAAGGUGGCUACCUUGGUGGGAACCCAGAGUGCAACCCCGCUAGGGGACUCUCAGAGACAGUGUAGAGCAUGCCUCAGUCACCCCAACAAAGGGGUGAGGGAGCUGGGGUGUCUAUCCACCAAAUCUCUGUCCUUUGUUGGUUGAGGGCUGUUUCGGGGGGCACCAACUCGGGGCACUUCUGGCUCGGCCGCCUGCAGGCCCAAGUUGCUCCUGAGGCCAGAACAACACCAUUCACAGUAAGCAGGCUUUUGUGGGUAGAGGCGAUUCUCAGCGGGGAUAUGGGCGGAGUCUGCUCUAGGGGCUGACCACUAAUUGAUUUUACAUUCACAGGAAAAGGCAGACACAGGCCCAGGAGACAUGUCUCCCCGUCCCUGGGUGAGGAUGUGGAGGGCGUAGGCAGUGUAAUAGUGGGGGCUUUUCCUGUCCAGGCUCCCAUCUCCUCAUGCUGAGAAAUCACGUUGCCACACUGUUGGUAGAGUCAGCUAGUAUGCGCAAACAGCCAUGUCUUCCUCUUUGACACUCAGCUAGACUACAUUUCCCAGCCUCCCUUGCAGUUAGGAGGCAUCAUAUGAUUGAUUCCAGCCAAUGAAAUAUGAGCAGAAGGGGCGUUUGCCUCUACCAGGCUUGGAUCAGAAGAAACCUCCCACGCACUACCCUUUUUCUCUCCUUCUCUUUCUAAGGUGACCUUGGAGGCCUCAUUGCAAGUGGUGCAACAUCUUCAGUGAUGCUUUGGAGGAAAACGACGUCAUGCAAAUUACUACACAAAUCACUAUUGUUAGUUGGGGUUGGCUCUAAAAAGGAAAAGGUUAAGGUGCCUUGAACACUUUGCCUGGUGAUCCAGGUGAAGGUAAGAGCAUGGACAAGGGCCCUGAAGCAGGAAGGAGGAACCCAAAGCAAACCAGCAUGACUGGAGGUAAUGAGCAAGGUAGAGUGGCGUGAGAGGAAGGAGCAUGAUCUUGAUGCAAGAUGCAUGGGUUUGUGGCAGGAAUUUGAUGGAUAGGGACUGGACACUGCCUUGGCACCCUCCCCCCUCUCCCUAGGGGCAGAGCAUCAAUUUAAGAAACCAGAUUGUAACCAGGAGGGGGUGAACCUAGAAACUCAGAAUUUGGGGGGGUGGGGGUGUGGCUUGGAUAGUCGUGGAGUUCAGUGGGCCCCAUGCCUGGAGUCCCCUGUCCCAGAGUCAGGGCCUCCUGCCCUUGUCUGCAGUGGGGGAGGGGGUUUCUGUCUUCCAGUCACAGCCCAGCCUUGCCUCAAGGGAUCAUUCCCAGGUCACCUGACCCAAAUUUGGUGAGUCGUGAAAUCAGAUAGCCCAGACCCUCUCUUGGGCUGGGUUCCUCUCAUCCUAGACAUAUGACUCUCCAGUAUCAGUACUAUAGACUCUUCUUGUGGGAUAGCCUGGGAACUCACCAUACUGUUUUGUUAAACCUCCAAUAACUGACUUAAUAAUGAACUGUUGGCCAGAGCUGCUUGCCUGACCUGGGGGACUGCCUUUUGCCUGCCCCACCCCCUCCCCCACAG
Molecule: long non-coding RNA, 2094 nt
Filed under: Equus asinus (donkey)
Lineage: Eukaryota; Metazoa; Chordata; Mammalia; Perissodactyla; Equidae
Description: lncRNA (ENSEASG00005036496.1)
Source: RNAcentral